Molecule: long non-coding RNA, 523 nt
Organism: Sinocyclocheilus rhinocerous
Lineage: Eukaryota; Metazoa; Chordata; Actinopteri; Cypriniformes; Cyprinidae
Exons: 3
Source: RefSeq, a predicted model, not a curated record
UAAGCAGAUACGAAUCUAUGAUUUUGGUCCUUGGUCUCAACAUUAAAGUACAAAGCAUUCUAAAAAUAAUUCUAAAAAUGUUUUAAUCACAUACAAGUAUUUCUUUCUUUUUUAUCUCAGAAAAGAAAAACAAAAUAGUAACAGUCUCUCUCAACACAAAUAUUCAACAACACGUGACGGGUCACCCAAGGGCUCUGCCGAUUAGAAAUUAUUUGUGCUUCAGACACAGGGCUUGCUUGAUACAUCUUGGUUUUCCCAAAUGACCCAGAAUGUAACAUAAUCUUGCUCAGUUUCUCAUUGAUACUCCCGCUUUGUCCCCAGUGCAACAUAGAAACAGUACAUACCUCACAUAAAUAGCUUAUGCAUUGCCAAACAAUGCACUGUCCUUAAAUCUAACUCACAGUAUAACCUUAGUAGAGACAAAUUCACAUAAUACAUAGUACAAGUCAUUUAACAUUGACACUCUUUGCUUCACAUUUGGAAAGCUUACAGAAUUUGUGUGUGUAAGUUUUUCAAAUGCAAG